RNAcentral lists this non-coding RNA (217 nucleotides) under Paramoeba aestuarina. Lineage: Eukaryota; Discosea; Flabellinia; Dactylopodida; Paramoebidae. The record is from RNAcentral.
AAUUUUGGAAGCUGCCUACUGAUACUGGUGAGGUUGUCGGUUCAUGUACAUUAUCCAUCAAUCACGGAGAGAAGAUUAACUGGAUGAUCUCUUCUGGGUUCGGAUCUGGUGCCCGUCUCUUCAUUGCGGAUGUGAGCAAUGACAUCACGUGGUAUCAGUCGGUUGGCUGAGAAAAAAACGAGAAGGAUGUAUUUAUUGCAGAGAACAAACAAGAAUU